AUACGGAGGGUGCGAGCGUUGUUCGGAAUUAUUGGGCGUAAAGAGCAUGUAGGCGGUCUGUUAAGUCUGGUGUGGAAGCCCGGGGCUCAACCCCGGAAGUGCAUUGGAUACUGGCAGACUUGAGUAUGGGAGAGGAAAGCGGAAUUCCGAGUGUAGGAGUGAAAUCCGUAGAUAUUCGGAGGAACACCAGUGGCGAAGGCGGCUUUCUGGACCAAUACUGACGCUGAGAUGCGAAAGCGUGGGGAGCGAACAGGAUUAGAAACCCUUGUAGUCC
Molecule: ribosomal RNA, 274 nt
Filed under: uncultured bacterium
Lineage: Bacteria
Description: partial 16S ribosomal RNA
Rfam family: Bacterial small subunit ribosomal RNA
Source: RNAcentral